This 506-nucleotide ribosomal RNA is filed under the name uncultured bacterium. Its description in RNAcentral is "partial 16S ribosomal RNA". It matches the Rfam family "Bacterial small subunit ribosomal RNA", at positions 30 to 523 of the family's 1533-position model. The record is from RNAcentral.
AUUGAACGCUGGCGGCAUGCCUUACACAUGCAAGUCGAGGGGUAACGAGAGGAAAGCUUGCUUUCCUUGUCGACGACCGGCGCACGGGUGAGUAACGCGUAUCCAACCUGCCCCCAACUAGGGAAUAACCUUGCGAAAGUAAGACUAAUGCCCUAUACUUUCCUCAGAUGACAUCUGACGAGGAAUAAAGAUUUAUCGGUUGUGGAUGGGGAUGCGUCUGAUUAGCUUGUUGGCGGGGUAACGGCCCACCAAGGCAACGAUCAGUAGGGGUUCUGAGAGGAAGGUCCCCCACAUUGGAACUGAGACACGGUCCAAACUCCUACGGGAGGCAGCAGUGAGGAAUAUUGGUCAAUGGGCGGAAGCCUGAACCAGCCAAGUAGCGUGCAGGAUGACGGCCCUAUGGGUUGUAAACUGCUUUUAUACAGGAAUAAAGUUAGCCACGUGUGGUUAUUUGUAGGUACUGUAUGAAUAAGGACCGGCUAAUUCCGUGCCAGCCGCCGCGGUAA